Molecule: non-coding RNA, 53 nt
Organism: Pseudomonas sp.
Lineage: Bacteria; Pseudomonadati; Pseudomonadota; Gammaproteobacteria; Pseudomonadales; Pseudomonadaceae
Source: Rfam
CUAGUCUUGACCGGUCGUUGCCAAUUCAACGACCGGUUUUGACAGACCGUCUC